RNAcentral lists this long non-coding RNA (249 nucleotides) under Mytilus galloprovincialis (Mediterranean mussel). The record is from RNAcentral. Lineage: Eukaryota; Metazoa; Mollusca; Bivalvia; Mytilida; Mytilidae.
AGAACACAGUAAGAAAUGUACACUCCAUCAGGAGAAAACAGAACAGAACAAAGUAAGAAAUGUACACUCCAUAAGGAAAAAACCAGAACAGAACACAGUAAGAAAUGUACACUCCAUAAGAAAAAAAAAACAGUACAGAAUACAUUAAGAAAUGAACACUCCAUAAGGAAAAAAAAAACAGAACAGAAUACAGCAAGAAAUUUACAGAUCUUAACUAAGGAGCCAACGCAACAAAGUACACUAAACAAU